RNAcentral lists this ribosomal RNA (253 nucleotides) under uncultured bacterium. RNAcentral describes it as "partial 16S ribosomal RNA". It matches the Rfam family "Bacterial small subunit ribosomal RNA", at positions 524 to 776 of the family's 1533-position model. The record is from RNAcentral.
UACGUAGGGACCUAGCGUUGUCCGGAAUUACUGGGCGUAAAGAGCUCGUAGGUGGUUUGUCGCGUUGUUCGUGAAAACUCACAGCUCAACUGUGGGCGUGCGGGCGAUACGGGCAGACUAGAGUACUGCAGGGGAGACUGGAAUUCCUGGUGUAGCGGUGGAAUGCGCAGAUAUCAGGAGGAACACCGGUGGCGAAGGCGGGUCUCUGGGCAGUAACUGACGCUGAGGAGCGAAAGCGUGGGGAGCGAACAGG